UCCCCUUUCCCUUCUCACGAAAACCCUAGGCGGCGCCUAGGGUUCCUCUUCUCUCUCCAUGCCAAAAAUGGCAACCAUUCAUAACUCGCAAGCUUUCAUCAGUUUUUGUAAAACUAUUCUCAUCCAACAAUCAAUAUUUAGCUUCACUUCACUCCAAACACGCGUUUGGCUGAGUUCGAGGAUUGGAAGCACUAGGGCUCCAAAUUCGAUCUUUUUCACGGCUGCACAUAAAAAAGUAAUCUUCUGUCCUUUUAUUGCCUUUUUCUUGUUUUGUGCUAAUUUCAUGUGUGUUUAGAUUAGUUUAAGUAUUGCAGUUUUGUUAAUGUGCUUAGUUAGCAUUAUGGUUGAAUAUUGUAGUCUAAAUGACCUUUAAAAAAACGGCCUGGAUCACUGCUUAAUCACCUGGAUGCCUGAUAUGAUAAUGUAUAACCAUGAACCUUAAUAGUAUUAGUUUAAAUGGAUCUCUGGUGGUGUUGUUUUCACUUCUAAAAAGAUUGAUAUUAUUAGUUGAGUGAAGUUUACAAGUUAAAGGCCUUAAAUAUGAUGAAAAUAAUAUUACUAAGUGUGAUUUGAAUCUGUCCAAGUCUGUUAUGUACAUUGUUUAAACCAUUUUAUAAAGGUGUGUCCAGAUGUUAAGCACAUGUUGAUCUUUGAUGAGAGCAAGACUAAUAAUGAUGUUUGACCUUAAGUAUGUUGUUUCUUGGCUCUGUCCUGUUCAGUUUCACAUGUAAACCAGCCCUAAAAUAAGAUGUAUAGGUCUGUCCAGGUUCUGAUAUGAUAAAAUGGGAGGUAAGAACAACUUCAUAACUAGAAUACUAGGUCAAGUUAAAUAAAAUAUCAACCUGUGUCAUUGCCAAUUGAGCAUUUGAUUGGAGUUGACUUAAUGAUGUUGUUUGAGGAGUCACAAGUGUCCAGGGGCAAUCCAUGAAUCACUUGACAUCAAGUGGCCUUUUAAAAGACACCUUAAAGAGAGGAUGAGGAAGAACCAAGUUCAACUUGGUUCACCGUAUCUUUCCACCAAAUAAGAGUUAUCAUGGCACACUCUAGGGUGUCCAUGGGGGUAUGUUUUCCAAAUGAACAUACUUGGCCCUUAAACUUCCUCAUUGAGCCAAAGGAUGGGUCUAAAAUGAAUCUAUUAAGUGUUUAAGUGAGCCUGUUGAAGGUAGAAGAAGUAUUUGUCCAUUUGAUGUCAUUAAUUUUCUAGAGAUAAGGAAAGAAUUGGUCAAGUUGAAGUCUUAGUACUAAGUCACAUGUUGAACCAAAUGCUAAAACAUAGGAGUCAUAAGACUUGUUUGGACCCUCUGCUUGUUCCCAUCUUUUUGGAAAUCUGUUAAAGUUUAAAAAGGGCCUAGGCUUGAAUCUCAUUUAAGGUCUGGUGUAUUUGAACCUUACUCCUCUUCUCUGUGUUCCAUCCUUUUUGAGUCAACUGAAGUCCAAAUGGUCAUUACUAUGUCAUUUGUGAUUGCUUGAGCCUGCCAAAUCUUGCUUGCUUUAUACUGUUCUUGCUUAUAGUUGAAAUUUCAACCUGCUUUGUGAUUUGGUUUUGAUUCCCAAGCCUCUCUGUGAUCUUGAUGUCAAUAUGUUUAACCUGUAAUCUCUUACUCUGUCUUGAUACUGUUUUAGCUUAGGCUGUAAGUAAAUAUUGAUCUAAUAUGGCAUAAUAGCCAAGUGAGUUGUCGAUCAAGUUGAGGCUGUGUAUGGGCUUGUAGUGGAAUUGUUUGUCCAGUGUUUAACUGAUUAGUUUGAGUACAAAAUGGCCUUGGUUUGAGUUGGAAAUUUUUCUUUAAAAUUGGAAAGACUAAUCAAGUGGUUAACUGAAUCAGUGUAAGAUUUAUGAUUUUAAGGUUAAAUAUACAUAAGGUAUAUACAUCUAGUAAGUAAAAGGAAGGAAGAUUACAUUUAGCCUUAACUCUCAAUUGGGCCGCUUUUUGGGAGGUAGAUGGGCCUUGCCCAAUUUAACUUGAUAAAGGGAAGUGGUAGAAAUCUCACUCAGCCCAAAGUAGGAAUUAAAGGGGCUCGGGUAGUUUUCUUCUGUAUUUGAUCUUGGGCUGCUAAAGCCAGUAGCGUAGAUGUGUGUAUAUUUGCUGUUUUACUUGUGAAUUAUAUAUAUAUGUAUGUAUGGAUUUGACAAGUUCAGUAGAUUGAAACUAACCGGGUCCCUCUUCUUUUUCCUCCUCCACUGCAUGGCCAUUCGGGCCGAGUCCAGCCAACCUGUUGGGCCAAGGCCCAACAGGUAAUUCUUUCGCAUUAUCGGGUCCGAUGAAGACAAAGAUGGAAGCUAAUAUAUUAAACACAUAGAAGGCCCCGUCAUGGGUGAAAAUGGCCAACUAGGGGCUUGGUACGCCCCUAGCCUUCCCCUUUCUCUUAUUUAAUUAUUCAUGCUUUCUUCAUGUCAUAAUUUGUUGUAUUUAUGCUUGUAAACACUUGUAAAACUCUUAUGUAUAUUGGAAUCCUUAUUGUAUGAACUAGUUGUCUUAGGACAACAGUGCUUA
Long non-coding RNA from Lycium barbarum (goji berry), 2492 nucleotides. RefSeq lists it as uncharacterized. The record is from RefSeq and is a predicted model, not a curated record. The transcript has 2 exons. Lineage: Eukaryota; Viridiplantae; Streptophyta; Magnoliopsida; Solanales; Solanaceae.